Gasterosteus aculeatus aculeatus (three-spined stickleback) is the source of this 1045-nucleotide long non-coding RNA. Lineage: Eukaryota; Metazoa; Chordata; Actinopteri; Perciformes; Gasterosteidae. The record is from Ensembl.
CGCUCAAAUGCUGAAAAGUAUGAAUCUACUUCAGCCUCCCGGAAAGGCGGCACUACCGCAAUAUUCUUGCUCACCUCAAACCGACCGAGGUUGAGAGCUAACGGAACCCCAACACCCGCCUCUAACUCGAGCUGCCUGAUUCGCACCUCUUUCUCUGCAUCUAUUUCUUUCUUUCGAAGUUCAAAUUGUCUGUCUUUUUCCCUCUCCUCUCGUUCCAUCUCUAGGCGAGCCAGCCGGUACUCGAGCCUAGCCGCAGCACUUCUGGACCCAACAGAGGAACGAGGCGAAAGGUCGGCCCUAGACUCUUCACCUGAGGCCUCACUGCCCUCGUCCAUCCCCUCACAAACCCCCUGGUGAACCAACCCUUUUUUUAUCAACUCUAACAUCUCUGCCUUGAGGGCCUGCCUUGGGACGGAGAUUUUAUAAUGAUCGGCGACGGCGAAUAACUCUGACCUGCGCAUCCCUCCCAGCUGGUCAAGGGAUGGACCUGCUAGAAAAACAGCCAGUGCUGGAGCAGCCAUUCUAGUAGGUACACACGCCACCACCACUACUACAAACCAAACUAGCAACUUGUUGCUGAAAUCACCCUACAACACCACACCUUCGCACCAGCACCCACCAGGACCUUGUGCUCACAGGGAAGUCGGGAGAUUGACGAUCCCGGACGAGCCCCCACUUGUUACGUCUCCCUUAGUCUAGGUGUAAGGGAGCGCAACCCCUGCAAACAUGAGCCCUGAUGAACGCGGCGACCAGAGGUAUGGGGUCGUGGUGUGAGUGACGACUACUGGCACAGGCAAAUGGUGUAAACAAAAAUAGGAGGUUUAUUCUCUCCUUAAAAGGAAAAACAAAACAAAUGUUCAGGGGAAAAGGGGCUGGGCGAGACCAAAGCAAAGAAACAAGCAAAAAGGGUGGACACUUCCCUAACUGACCUAAUUUCCCCCCCCCCUUUACUCUACCUCGGGCACGGAUGAGGCCCGCUAACCAAAAGUACAGGGAGUGGUCCGCCCAGGUCUUGCCUAGUGUAUCUAGACAGGCAGUCAGCUAC